CUGAAGCUCAGCAGUGACGAAGAUGACAAGGACGAGGGAAGUGAGCAAACAACUUCCUGGGCUGAUAAUGACCGCUUGUCAGGCCAGCAGCAGCACCGCACAAACACACACGUCGGAAGAGUGAGACAUUCUAGCUCAGGGUCUUCAGGAUCAGACCCUUCCAGCGAGUGGGAGAGCAGCAGCCAGCGGUCACGCAGCCCGAGCCCAGGGACGCACAACCGGUGCGGGACACCGACCCAACAGCGGACCCUAAUCUGCAG
RNAcentral lists this long non-coding RNA (260 nucleotides) under Sinocyclocheilus anshuiensis. RNAcentral's name for it is "lncRNA (ENSSANG00000026795.1)". Lineage: Eukaryota; Metazoa; Chordata; Actinopteri; Cypriniformes; Cyprinidae. The record is from RNAcentral.